UUUUUAAAGGAUCUUUUUUGACCUCUGAAUAUUGAAACCCGGGGUAAUUGCAAACACAGGUUUUCAACAAUCAAGUUUAUUUUCUCUGCAGAAAACCUCACCCAUAUGCCUGCAGGGAAUAGCUGCAUUUGCCAAAUCCAACUUUUGGUGCACAGAAGAAGUGGGAUAUAUAAAUAGAAAGUGACUAGCUGCAUGCUUAGGGCAGGCAGCUGGAUCGCGCUCCCGUUUGCUGAGCUGCGAACUCCCGGCGUGGUCAGCGGAGGAGGAAAUCUCCACUUGAGGCAAGAUGAUACAUCCGUGUCCUCUCCUACCCUUCCAGACGGACCGCAUCAUCUCUCCAGCUGAGCGAUCUGAGGUGUUACAUCACUUCGCACCAGCCAGCGGGACGAACCGGAGCAGAGACGGUCCUGAAACGUCAGAGCAACAUGACAAAGUUGUGACUGCGUCCCAAGAGGAGAAUCAAGUGUCUGCCGGGCGGGAGGAAGGAGGGCUGACAUUUCUCCCCCAUCAGUCACUCGGAUCCACUGUAGUUCAGUGCACGCAUCCAGUAAAUUGUUUCAAUCACGUUGUGGUUAGGAGAAGUAUGUUCCGUAUAAUUCGCUGCAGCCUCCUGCCUGCGGACUCCACUGUUUAUAGCAUGGCCUUAAUUGCUUUCUUCUCUUUUUUCUCUUGGCUCAACUGAAUUCAUUUAGAAACAUAAUAUAAGUUAAUGAUAAAAUCCUUCACUAAACCACUGAUAGCUAAGUGUUGCCUGACUGGGACAGACAAAUAGCCCAUUUUGUCUGGAAUCCUUUUUUCUUCUGUAAGGCCUAUAGUACAUCUAAAUUGUGCAAUAAUAUACCAUGGAGAUAAAUUAUUUCAUAGCAAAAGCUUAUGUAUUAAAGCUUUCCAAAAUGCAACAGAGUGUAGCAGGGAAGAAGAUUAAAAUAACUGGGUUCCCUUCCAAGCUCUAAAACUGAAUUUUUGUGUAACCAGGGCUAGUCAUUCAGUCUCAUCAAGCCUCAGUUCCUUCCUCCUCUUCUGCCUGUCAUCUUGAUGGCGUUGGUGUGCUUCCUGCCUGUAAAGCAUAUGUCGCAUCCUUACUCUUAGCAUACAUUUUUAUUAUCACCUAAAUACUGUGGCCUUGAUCUCAGACAAAGAUUUUGAAACUGUUGUAAUAAGAAAUUAAAAAUAGCUUGAGUGAUAUUUUGACUGACAUAUAAACCCAAAUCCCUCCGCCUAAUCUCUCAAAUCUACCUGCUUUGUUUAUAUCCCAAGGCAGUGAGUGCCAAAGAUUAACUAUAUACUGAGUGAUAUUUUUCCACAAAUUUUAAACUGUUUCCUUUAAAGGCAAGGGUUUUUGUUUUUUAAUGGGCAAGCAGGCUCAUUAGUACCAGGUGAUUCAUUUAAAGCACAAUUACACAGGGAAUUGGGCUAAUUGAUUGGAUAACCCUAGAUUCAUUUGUAAAAACACAGUCCUCAAACCUGAAGUGCUUGGACUUAGCGGUAGUCGUGUACUGAGAAGUUUUCUUUAAAAGCAAACGUUUAGGUUAAUGGGAUCCAUAUGAUAUGAAUUCCUAAUAACUUUACCAUGGGUGGGCUUAUCGAACUGCUUAUCAUAACAGAAGUCGGGCCAUUUCAAAGGAUCUUUCUUCUGAGACUUUCUGAAGACUUUUCUUUCAGCUCAGAUCUUUAGAAAAUUCCACUAACUCUCCAUUGAGAAAAUAUUUGAGCUGUCUCUCUCUCAUGCCAUGAUUCAAAUGGAUUCUUUUUAAAAUGUGUAUUUUUUAACCCUCUGAUAGCAGGACAAAGUGUUUGGCGCAGAUGUGUCCUUCUUCGGGAGGGGAACAGCUUUGAGAAGGAGCAUUUGGGAUGAUGCUCUGCAGCCCAGGAGGUCACACUUUGUGGGUAAAAGUGGUCCAUGGCUUGGACUAAAGGUCAGGCACUUGCCUGCCAAUCAGAAGAACUCCAGGGUAAUUUAGGCAUGCUCAAAGGCAGGCAAGUCAGUGUGUGUCUUUCAGCUGACCUCAGUGGGUUUUGAAUCAGGCCCAGAGAUUCGAAUCACCAUCCCUAAUUGCAGAGAGGAAAAAAAUUACUGCAAACAUCACUUAAAGAGGCAUUUGAGUAAUUAGCGAUGGAAGAGACAGGGCCACCUUGAUAGUCUGAAGAAAAAACUCUCUGCGCAGAAUAAAAUCAUCUUAGAAGCAAACA
This is a long non-coding RNA of Struthio camelus australis, 2190 nucleotides long. The record is from Ensembl. NCBI's taxonomy places the organism in Eukaryota, Metazoa, Chordata, Aves, Struthioniformes, Struthionidae.